GUCAAGGUGAGAAGGAGAAUUGAACACAUGUUGUUCUGGUGCCAGUAUGCUCGAGUAACCUAGUUCGCUAGUCUAAUUACAUACAAACCGAAUCCAACAGGUUUUUCCUCCUUCUCUCACUGGUGGUCAGAUUUAGUGACCAAGUUUAGUUCAGAUAUUGAACUUCUUACCGCAGUGGCUGUUACAUGUUGGAUAAUCUGGAAAGGGAGAAAUAGGGCUGCAUUGGAUCACUUAGACUCUGAUCCUUUGAAGGCAGUUCAAUGUAUAGCAAAACUUACAGCAGAAGUGCAUAAUGCCCGUGAAUUGCCGACUAAUGUUCCUAGAAUUUCUAGAAGGAAUGUGCUCUUGGAAAGGUGGCCCCUCCUCCUAGAGGCACUUAAAGUUCAAUUCAGAUGUUGCUUGGAAAAUAGGAUCCCACUUUGGAGUGAUUGCAGUGAUAGUGCAUAAUUUCACAGGAAAUAUAGUUGAUAGGAUUGUGAAAAAGGUUUUUU
This 491-nucleotide unclassified non-coding RNA is filed under the name Hevea brasiliensis (rubber tree). The record is from RNAcentral. Lineage: Eukaryota; Viridiplantae; Streptophyta; Magnoliopsida; Malpighiales; Euphorbiaceae.